ACGAGAAUAUUCCGCAAUGGACGAAAGUCUGACGGAGCGACGCCGCGUGAUCGAUGAAGUGCUUCGGUACGUAAAGAUCUUUUAUCGGGGACGAAGUUUAUUGACGGUACCCGAUGAAUAAGGGGCUCCUAACUCUGUGCCAGCAGGAGCGGUAAUACAGAGGCCCCAAGCGUUAUCCGGAAUCACUGGGCGUAAAGGGUGUCGAGGCGGUUGUAUUAGUCGUUCGUAAAAUCUACGAGCUUAACUUGUAGGCGGCGAACGAAACGGUACGACUUGAGGUUUGGAGAGGUGCGUGGAACUCACGGUGUAGGGGUGAAAUCCGUUGAUAUCGUGGGGAACACCAAAGGCGAAGGCAGCGCACUGGCCAAAAUCUGACGCUCACACACGAAAGCUAGGGUAGCGAAGAGGAUUAGAUACCCAGGUAGUCCCUGAGCGGGCUGGCAAGGCGCAU
Molecule: ribosomal RNA, 451 nt
Filed under: uncultured bacterium
Lineage: Bacteria
Description: bacterial SSU rRNA
Rfam family: Bacterial small subunit ribosomal RNA
Source: RNAcentral